This 1056-nucleotide long non-coding RNA is filed under the name Oreochromis niloticus (Nile tilapia). RNAcentral describes it as "lncRNA (ENSONIG00000036104.1)". The record is from RNAcentral. Lineage: Eukaryota; Metazoa; Chordata; Actinopteri; Cichliformes; Cichlidae.
AGGGGAGGCUGGCUAAGUUGGAAAAUAGUGUACUGCGGUGGGGGACUGGCGCCUUUCAAGCUUAAAGGUGAUUCUGUAGCUCUUUAAGCUUCUUAUGAUCAUAAUUGGGGGGUUUUCCCUCAGGUGAUUUCACAUAUACGUUAUAAACCCGUUUUCAUCUUAUGCCACAACCUAAUUUUAGCUAAUCAACCGGCUUCUGCAUGGCAGACCACAAACGGUCUCUUUGCCAAAACCGGGCUUAUCCGCGUAAAAACUGCGUCACUGCUCUUUGUGUGAUUCCACGGCUGCAGAUGGAUACCAUUGCUAAGCCUCGGAUAAUGCAUGUGUGUAAUGUGCAGUGAUAGAAGAGAGCAGUCUGAGAUAAAAGUGUGCCUUUUAACGUCACAUGACCUCAUCCGGCAAAGGUCUCAGUUGAUCCCACGGGCUGCUGCUAUAUGGCUAUGAGCGCAAACCUGCCUGCAGGAAAAAUAUGCAUCAGAACAUGCAACUGGAAGCAAUUAGUGUCCAGAACAGCUGGAAUUCCCUGAAAGGUGAAAGCACUUAUAUUUGACUAAUAUGUGAAUCUGAAUUUAGUUUUUUUUUUUUAAACGUAAUCUUUUCAUUUUUCAGCCCGAUUAAUGAAAAAAGAUUAUACGUAUUUCAGUGUUGAGCUUUUCUUGUACUUGCCGCCUUUUUAAAGCAAACAGCGACAAAGCAGUUAAAUGAAAAAGCCACUCCCCGCUGUUAGAUAAUAAUUAUAAGGAUCAUCGUUUGGCCUUUAAAAUAUACAGUCUGGCUUUUUUAUAUUAAAAGAAAAACUUAAAAAAAAAAAAAAAAAAGAAGCUUGUCCAGAUGUUGUCCAUCUGUGAUUUUGAGGCUUCAGGGGGGCAACGCACUAUUGUGUGUAUUUGUAUAACAUUUUUCUGGAAUGGUUCACUGCCUUUAGGCCACCAUACAUCAGCAGCGGCGCUGCAGUGCGCGCAAUGGGCGUGCGCACGCCUCCGGGUGCUGCUGCGCGCCCCCGCCUGUGUGUGUGUUUGUGUGUGUGUUUUCUUUAAUUGCUAUUGAGCAAAUUUU